CCUACGGGAGGCAGCAGUGGGGAAUUUUGCGCAAUGGGGGAAACCCUGACGCAGCGACGCCGCGUGAGCGAAGAAGGCCUUCGGGUUGUAAAGCUCUGUCGAGUGGGAAGAGUAAGGACGGUACCACUGGAGGAAGCACCGGCUAACUCCGUGCCAGCAGCCGCGGUAAUACGGAGGGUGCAAACGUUGUUCGGAAUUACUGGGCGUAAAGGGCGCGUAGGCGGGCCAACAAGUUCAUUGUGAAAUAUCACGGCUUAACCGUGGGAGGUCAAUGAAGACUGUGGGUCUAGAGUACUGGAGAGGGUCAUGGAAUUCCGCAAGUAGCAGUGGAAUGCGUAGAUAUGCGGAGGAACAUCGGAGGCGAAGGCGAUGACCUGGCCAGAAACUGACGCUGAGGCGCGAAAGCGUGGGGAGCAAACAGGAUUAGAUACCCUGGUAGUCCACGCUGUAAACGAUGGAUACUAGACGUUGGGAGAGAGAAUUUUUUCAGUGUCGAAGCACACGCGAUAAGUAUCCCGCCUGGGGAAUACGGUCGCAAGACUAAAACUCAAAGGAAUUGACGG
RNAcentral lists this ribosomal RNA (563 nucleotides) under uncultured bacterium. Its description in RNAcentral is "bacterial SSU rRNA". It matches the Rfam family "Bacterial small subunit ribosomal RNA", at positions 338 to 916 of the family's 1533-position model. The record is from RNAcentral.